GUGGGGAAUAUUGGGCAAUGGUCGGAAGACUGACCCAGCCAUGCCGCGUGCAGGAAGACGGCCCUCUGGGUUGUAAACUGCUUUUAUCUGGGAAGAAAAAGGCCAUGCGUGGCAAAUUGCCGGUACCAGAUGAAUAAGCACCGGCUAACUCCGUGCCAGCAGCCGCGGUAAUACGGAGGGUGCGAGCGUUGUCCGGAUUUAUUGGGUUUAAAGGGUGCGUAGGCGGCUGAUUAAGUCAGCGGUGAAAGACUUCGGCUUAACCGGAGCAGUGCCGUUGAUACUGGUUGGCUUGAGUGUCGGAGGGGUACAUGGAAUUGAUGGUGUAGCGGUGAAAUGCAUAGAUACCAUCAGGAACACCGAUAGCGAAGGCAUUGUACUGGCCGACAACUGACGCUGAUGCACGAAAGUGUGGGGAUCGAACAGGAUUAGAAACCCGUGUAGUCC
This 444-nucleotide ribosomal RNA is filed under the name uncultured bacterium. Its description in RNAcentral is "partial 16S ribosomal RNA". It matches the Rfam family "Bacterial small subunit ribosomal RNA", at positions 354 to 796 of the family's 1533-position model. The record is from RNAcentral.